UGGGGAAUUUUGGACAAUGGGCGAAAGCCUGAUCCAGCAAUGCCGCGUGUGUGAAGAAGGCCUUCGGGUUGUAAAGCACUUUUGUCCGGAAAGAAAUCCUUGGCUCUAAUACAGUCGGGGGAUGACGGUACCGGAAGAAUAAGCACCGGCUAACUACGUGCCAGCAGCCGCGGUAAUACGUAGGGUGCAAGCGUUAAUCGGAAUUACUGGGCGUAAAGCGUGCGCAGGCGGUUUGCUAAGACCGAUGUGAAAUCCCCGGGCUCAACCUGGGAACUGCAUUGGGUGACUGGGCAGGCUAGAGUAUGGCAGAGGGGGGUAGAAUUCCACGUGUAGCAGUGAAAUGCGUAGAGAUGUGGAGGAAUACCGAUGGCGAAGGCAGCCCCCUGGGCCAAUACUGACGCUCAUGCACGAAAGCGUGGGGAGCAAACAGGAUUAGAUACCCUGGUAGUCCACGCCCUAAACGAUGUCAACUAGUUGUUGGGGACUUCAUUUCCUUAGUAACGUAGCUAACGCGUGAAGUUGACCGCCUGGGGAGUACGGUCGCAAGAUUAAAACUCAAGGAAUUGACGGGGUCAAGCUGUUUCCU
RNAcentral lists this ribosomal RNA (586 nucleotides) under uncultured bacterium. RNAcentral describes it as "partial 16S ribosomal RNA". It matches the Rfam family "Bacterial small subunit ribosomal RNA", at positions 355 to 938 of the family's 1533-position model. The record is from RNAcentral.